UUCUCCCUGUUGGUGAAGCUGGCCUCAAACUCGCGACCUCAGGUAUUCGAUGAGAUCAGGAGCAUGCCCAGCUCUCCACUGCGGGCUUCAUGUAAGAGGAGAGCCAUGAUAAUGUAUUGCAUUAUUCUUGUACAGUAAUCAGGAUGCAACAGAGUCAUCAGCAAAUAUACAACUUCAUAUCAACUAAAGGUACUUUACACAAGAGAAGAGACUCCAAGGCAACAGAUUUCCUAUAGCAGUCUUUUCCUAAGAGUACUAAGGUAAUUAGCCUCAACAGGAGAUAAUUUCGGUUCACAGGGGUUGCUGUUGUUUUAAGUGUUUCUGGGAAAAUUGGAUUUUCCAUUGAUAGCAGUUUUAACAUGUCACACUGGAGCCAGAGUGAAUUAAACUGAAGAGCUACACAGUCUAAACAAACAUUCC
Molecule: long non-coding RNA, 420 nt
Filed under: Homo sapiens (human)
Lineage: Eukaryota; Metazoa; Chordata; Mammalia; Primates; Hominidae
Description: HSALNT0323661
Source: RNAcentral